RNAcentral lists this transfer RNA (70 nucleotides) under Catillopecten margaritatus. RNAcentral's name for it is "Catillopecten sp. m YTL-2023 tRNA-Asp". The record is from RNAcentral. Lineage: Eukaryota; Metazoa; Mollusca; Bivalvia; Pectinida; Propeamussiidae.
GAGAGGGUGGUGAAAUUAUCACAUAAUAUUGUCAUUAUUAAAUUACAUAUGGAAAAGUAUGUUCUUCUUU